This 378-nucleotide unclassified non-coding RNA is filed under the name plant metagenome. RNAcentral's name for it is "partial contains 5.8S ribosomal RNA, internal transcribed spacer 2, and large subunit ribosomal RNA". The stretch from base 1 to 105 matches the Rfam family "5.8S ribosomal RNA", at positions 50 to 154 of the family's 154-position model. The record is from RNAcentral.
AAAAUGCGAUAAGUAAUGUGAAUUGCAGAAUUCAGUGAAUCAUCGAAUCUUUGAACGCACCUUGCGCUCCUUGGUAUUCCUUGGAGCAUGCCUGUUUGAGUAUCAUGAAAUCUUCAAAGUAAAUCUUUUGUUAACUCAAUUGGUUUCUACUUUGGUAUUGGAGGUCUUUGCAGCUUCACACCUGCUCCUCUUUGUUCAUUAGCUGGAUCUCAGUGUUAUGCUUGGUUCCACUCGGCGUGAUAAGUUAUCUAUCGCUGAGGACACUGUAAAAGGUGGCCAAGGUAAAUGCAGAUGAACCGCUUCUAAUAGUCCAUUGACUUGGACAAUACUUUUAUGAUCUGAUCUCAAAUCAGGUAGGACUACCCGCUGAACUUAAGC